This 251-nucleotide unclassified non-coding RNA is filed under the name fungal sp. Its description in RNAcentral is "partial internal transcribed spacer region". The stretch from base 1 to 46 matches the Rfam family "Eukaryotic small subunit ribosomal RNA", at positions 1786 to 1831 of the family's 1831-position model. The record is from RNAcentral. Lineage: Eukaryota; Fungi.
AAGUCGUAACAAGGUUUCCGUAGGUGAACCUGCGGAAGGAUCAUUAACACGUUUCUAUCAUAAAACGUAACACAAAACGCGAACUAAGUUCUAUACACUAUACGUAUAACACUAAUCACAAAUUUCACCAUUCUACUUUUUGCUAGUUGACUUUAUCUUGUUACAGUAUUCGCUCUUGCAGCGGUAUCGUAGCACGUUUAUUAAUUGAACGUUAAAUUGUACAACUCUUAGCAAUGGAUAUCUUGGUUCUC